AACAUACUUCCUCCGUCCGGAAUUACUUGUCGUGAAAAUGGAUAAGAGUGGAUGUAUCUAGAACUAAAAUAUGUCUAGAUACAUCCAUUUCUCCAACAAGUAAUUCCGGACGAAGGGAGUAUGUU
Molecule: non-coding RNA, 125 nt
Organism: Triticum aestivum (bread wheat)
Lineage: Eukaryota; Viridiplantae; Streptophyta; Magnoliopsida; Poales; Poaceae
Source: Rfam